GAAUAAGAUGACAAAGCAUUAGAGAAAAAAUAGGUGAGACAAAUCCAGAAAAUGCCAAAAUCAGGUCUGGCUCCAGGUUUUGGAGAGCCUGAGGUAAGAUGCCAGUGAUAGACUAUACUCCUUAAGCAACAAAGACUGUUAUAAUGACAUAUAUUUCAUAUAUAUUUAUAUAGUAUUGGCUUUUAAACAAAUACAAUAACCAUUAAACACUUAUCCAGCAGUACGUUUCCGAGCACAAUUCAAAGUGUUGGUGCUGACCUUUAAAGCCCUAAAUGACCUUGGCCCAGUAUACCUGAAGGAGCAUCUCCACCCCCAUCACUCAGCCCAGACACCGAGGUCCAGCUCUGAGGGCCCUCUGGCGGUUCCCUUACUACAAGAAAUGAGGUUACAGGGAACCAGGCAGAGGUCUUUCUCGGAAGUGGCACCCACCCUGUGGAACAUCCUCCCAUCAGAUGUCAAGGAGACAAACAACUAUCUGACUUUUAGAAGACAUCUGAAGGCAUCCCUGUUUAGGGGAGUUUUUAAUGUUUUAUCACAUUUUUAAUAUUCUGUUAGGAGCAGCCCAGAGUGGCUGGGGAAACCCAGCCAGAUGGGCGGGGUAAAAUAAUGUUAUUAUUAUUAUUAUAAAGGCAGAAUUUAGAGAAAGGAGUUGGCCUUUAAUUACAGAUACAAUGGAGAAUACUUUAUUCCAAAAAGUUUUUAACCUGGGGCCAUUCCCUCCAAACAUGAAUAAAUGAACCAAGCUUCCAACAGCUCUUCCAACAUAAAGGGGGAAAAGGAGGGGUAAUUUUUUGCCAGCCUGGUAUCACCAGUGACACUCCAUGCUCACUCAGGGAGACAACAGGUUAAAAGGGGGGUGGAAUAGGAAGCAGUGAAGAUGAGGAGGUAGAGCAGUCACCCUAGUUGCUGCCCAAAGGAAGAAGGCAGGUGACUGAACACUUCUUCAUCUCAACUUUUCAUUGCUGUUGCUGAUUCUCCACUGAAGCAUGUGGUAAUGAUGGUGAGAAGAAGCAACAGCACAGAACUGUGACUGAUGGUGGGUCCUUGCAGUAUGUUGAGGCCUGGCUGCUGCCCAAGGAUGCUCUUGGCAGUCAUGUCUAUUCCCAUGACUAUAACAUAUUAGUGUGUCUCUGUGUGAUGAAUUCCUUUCAGCAUUAUUUCUGUCUCUUUGGCAGCUGAUAAUGUUGGGAUCUAGGGACGCGGGUGGUGCUGUGGUCUAAACCACUGAGCCUAGGUCUUGCCGAUCGGAAGGUCGGCGGUUCGAAUCCCUGCAAUGGGGUGAACUCCGGUUGCUCGGUCCCAGCUCCUGCCAACCUAGCAGUUUGAAAACAAGCCAAAAGUGCAAGUAGAUAAAUACGUACUGCUCCGGUGGGAAGGUAAACGGCAUUUCCGUGUGCUGCUCUGGUUUUGCCAGAAGCAGCUUAGUCAUGUUGGCCACAUGACCCGGAAAAACUGUCUGCGGACAAUUGUCGGCUCCCUCAGCCAGUAAAGCGAGAAGAGCGCCACAAUCCCAGAGUCAUUCGUGACUGAACUUAACUGUCAGGGGUCCUUUACCUUUAGCUUUUUAAUGUUGGGAUCUAGGCAAAAUUCUGUAGCAAACCCAAAAUUCUGUAGCAAACCCAAAGCCCACAUAAAAUAAGGAAAUGAUAGUAGUGCAAACAUGCACAAAGAAAAUCUGUGCUCUAGUGGACAGGAUUGUAUUUAGUCCUCCCCAUUCCACGCUGCUUCUCUCUAACUUUUUAUAACUCCUCCAAGGUACUGGGCACCACCACCACACUUGCAUCUGAGCCACAUUCAGUUGUGCACUCAUGCAAUGAUUAGGGCAUUUCCUCACACCAUAUAAGACUACAGCUCAGAGCAGUGUGGUGAUCCAUUGGUCCUUUGCAGAAAGGAAGAGCUGCUUUUGACAUUGCUUCAGUCCCUCCAAGGCAACUUAUUGUACAGGAAAGGGCCAUAGCUCCAAAGUACGGCACAUGACUUUUAUGUGAAAAUCCGUGGUUCAAUCGCUGGCCUUUCAAGGCAGGGCUGGGAAAGUGGCCUCUGUCUGAAACACAGGAGAGCUGCAGCCAGUGAGUGUAAGAAAUACUGAACUAGAUGGGCCAAUACUCUGAUUUGGUUUAAGGCAACUCCCUAUAUUCCUAAAGAACCUAAGAGUGAGAACCAGUUAUUCCAUUCCAGUGAUACUUCCCUGUGUUCUCGAUUCAAGGCUUAAGGCCUCCAUCCACAGCUGGAACGCUUCUCUGGAUCAAUACAGAAGGAUUUGCUCCAUUUGCAUCCCAUAUCCAAUGCUUCCAUCUGACAACACCAUGUGAUGCUUCUGCAGCUCAGCUGCAUGAGGUGGCCAAAACCAGGGCCGGAUUUAGGUUUGAUGAGGCCCUAAGCUACUGAAGGUAAUGGGGCCCUUUAUAUGUCCAGCUGUCCUUUGUCAACAACAAAUUGUCGCUGUUUCUUGUGUUGAAUAUAUGCUAUAUGGUAAUUUAUGGACCUAAUAGGUAUCUAAAGCCAUUCGCACAUAAAAAAAUAUGUAUUUUAUCAAAGUGAUUGUUGAACUGAAAUACAAUUAAGAAGAAGCCUACACAACACAAAACACUGUUGCUGAAUGUAGGUUUUAUUUUAUUUGGUUUUUUUAUCUCAUAUUUUGGAAAUGUACAUCCAGGUUUUUUUCUCCUUUAAUUUUUUUUUUUUUUUGAGGCUGCCAAGAGAGUGGGGCCCUAAGCUAUAGCUUGUUUAGCUUAUAUGUAAAUCCAGUACUGACCAAAACCCUAACCUAUGGUAAUCCAUAAGUCAGUUGCCUACAUGUUUAGCACACAAAUAAUUUCUCUCAUUCUCUCUCUCAUUGAAAGGCAAGGGUUUAAAGCUAUAAAAACAAAAUGGUGACCUCAAAUAACCAUUCUUGUGCAAAACUUUCUUCAUGGAAGGCCACCUGCUCCCCCUCCCCUUUUAAAUGUCUCAAAUACUAGAAUAGAAAUAGCACAUAAAAACCGCAAUAGCUUUUCAAAAAUAGUCAUUAUGGAAAAGGUUGCCCAUCCUACUGCAAAGCUUUCCAUUCAAGGGAAUGUACUAAGCUCAAGUGCCAUACAUAAUUGCCUACCACACUGCCUGUAUUUUAAGUGUAGGCUACUGAUUGGGAGUACAAAGGAAGCCCAUCAAAACAGAAUUCAGUAGAACAACCAUUAACUCACAGUGCUGUGGAUUAACGCCUCUGCAGAUCUUGAGGGAAGAAAGAUUAAAGCUUGGCAACCGUAGUAAGGUGCUAGAAUGAGAACCAUUAAGAGACAUCUAACACAGGCCCACAAAGAGAGGGAAGAAUCAAGGACAACAAGUGUUCACCACUGAUUAAACUGAAGUGGGACAGAAGAUGCUAAGCAGUCAUCAUCAUAACAGCUACUGCUGGGGAACUGUUGAAAGCUCUUUGUGAAUUAGGAAGCAGCUUCUCGUUCAUUCUCAACUACUGAUUCAUUCAGGGAUGGUUGGAAACAUAGAGUUGGAAGGGACCGUGAGAGUCCAAUCCCCUUCAAUGCAGGAAUCUCAACUCUUCUUCUCUUUCUUCUCUUCUUCUUCGGUGAUCACUCGUAGCCAAGUAAGAUUGUCUUCCAUAAACACAUUUUGGGGGUUUGGGAUGGGUUUUGGGAAGACACCUGUGCGUGAAUUCGUUUUGUGUGUGUGUGGAUCAGUGCAUGGACCUCCAGAAUGAAUUAAGUUCGUAACCAGAAGUACCACUGUAUGUUUUUAAAGUGCAUUUACUCAGAAAUAAACAUGUCUGACUGCAAGGGAGGGAGGGUGUCCUGUUUUAAGAUUUAAAUGCCCUACAGUGGUACCUCGGGUUAAGAACUUAAUUCAUUCUGGAGGUCUAUUCUUAACCUGAAACUGUUCUUAACCUGAGGUACCACUUUAGCUAAUAGGGCCUCCUGCUGCCACCGCCGUACAAUUUCUCUUCUCAUCCUGAAGCAAAGUUCUUAACCCGAGGUACUAUUUCUGGGUUAGUGAAGUCUGUAACCUGAAGCAUCUGUAACCCGUGGUACCACUGUAUAUGAAAUUGCUGGUUUUUACUUUGUUUCUGGUCUGUGGGUGCUUGGAUGGUUUGUGUGCGUGCUUGGUCCUAUUGAAAUGACCAAAGUGUUUAUUUAUUCCCAGAUUAGCAUUGGAAUGCCCCAUUUUUCUUCUAGGACCCAGGAACGCUCCCAUUACUUCUUACCAAUGGAGUGUGUGAUUUCUAGCUUAGGUGAGAACAGCACCAUAGAAAGGGUGGCCUUUUUGGGAGCACUGCAGUAGCGUCAACAACCCUCCACCACUUCCCCUCAUGUGCCUGCUUCACCCCCUCUUUUUUACAGCUUUUACAUCACUGUUCAUCAGCUGAUCUUUGUCCUGUGAUUAGCUUUCUCUGAGACCAAGACUUGUUUGGUAAAUGUUGAAUUUCCUAGCCAGGUUAAAUGGCGGUGGUAGGGGGCGCCAUUUUGUGGUGCGCCUCAUGUGCCAAAAUGUCUUGGGCUGGUCCUGCUUUGGUACAUUAGCUUAUGAUCUGGAUGGGGGGCAAAGGUUAGUGAGCAUUAUUUCCUCAGGACACCCUUUCUCCAUGCUCAAUCUGAGGAGGGGAAAAGAAGGGGAAGAAAUUAAAACUAACUCCCAUGUCCUACUGUUAUAAGGGAGAGAAUAAAGUUUGGCAAUCAUCAGGGUUUUUCUUCUUCUUCUUUUCCCUCGGAGAGAACAAAGUGAGAAGCAAUUAUGUUGCUUGGGCUACAACAUUAACUUAAAUUAACAGGGAAAACAUUUAAAAAGCUAAUCUAAGUUCCAUAAAUGCUUUGCCAUCUUGCAAAUAUAAAACUGAAGUGGGUGGGUGGGGGAAAUAAAGUGCUCCCCCCCCCGCACUUAGUGUAAUAAUGCACUUCAGUUAAAGACAGAUAAAAGGGAUGUGGGAGAAUGUACAACGGUGCCACCAAGAGGAUUCAAAACUUGGCUGUGUAACAUUUUAAUCACACAUGUGCACACUCACAUACUCACCAGGAGGAGGAUAGCUUACAGUUUUCUCUGAACUAAGAAUUACAUGGAUUAUUCAAUGGAUACAUUUCAGUCCUAUUAGAAGCUGAAAGGGACUCCAAGGGUCAUCAAGUCCAACCCCCUGCAAUGCAGGAAUCUGUUGCCCAACGUAGGGUUUGGACCCAUGACCCUGAGAUUAAGUGUCUCGUGUUCAGCCAAUAUACCAGAGCAUGUACCACUCUGCUGAGACAAUGCAUGGACAGGUAAGAAGGUAAAAGGUAAAGGACCCCUAGAUGGUUAAGUCCAGUCAAAGGCAACUAUGGGCUUGCAGCACUCAUCUUGCUUUCAGGCCAAGGGAGAUCGGGUCCUCCCUUAAAGAGGGCACGUGUUGCGGCGAGACCUUGCAACCAAACCCUGUGUUGUGGGUGGGUGUGAUUGGAUAGCCACAACACCCAAUUGGUAGGUCCCUUGAUGCUAGGUUUAAUUAGGCCAAUGGGAUGCUGAACAGAUCAAGGGACCUAUAUAUACCCAUGCACAUGACCCAGAGUUUCUUCUUUCAGUGCGUGCAUCAGAACACCUGUCCACCUCUCCCUAGUUUUAGGGCUGUGCGCUUGACCUUGCUAUGUCAUCGUGUGUCAUCUGUCGUUGGGACAGGGGCACGGCAGGAAUUUCCCCCACUUGGCUGAUUGGCUGGUGCCAUUUGGGUGUCGCCUGCCACAUAGCAAAUCGUCACAACUCGUAAGGUUUCGGAUAGGCUCUGGUUCAGGUGAUAGGGAUGGGGGAAUGCUCUUGCCAUCCCUAUGUGAAGGGUAUUCUGUUAAAGGAAUCCAAGGACUCAAUGGUUUGGUCAACCUGUGAGGGGGUUGUGCCUGUGGCUGAGUCUAGGGGGACAUCUGGGUGGUGGACAUAGCCUGUUCCUGGCUUUCUGGCUAUCCAGGUGUUCACCCUUGGCUGACCUAUGCUGGUGCCCUGGGUCAGCGCUACCUGCAACGGUGCAGGGAGCUAGUUGAACCAGAGCCUAGGCAACCACUCACUUGCUGUAAUCAAUAAAGUUGUGGCCUAAAUUCUGCCAAAAAACAAACCAAAAUUUGAGUCUUGUCUGAAUUUAUUUAAGGGGGAGGUUGAAAGGUCUGAAUAUGCAACUGGCGUUUGUCCACAGACAGCUUUCCGGGUCAUGAGGCCAGCAGGACUAAACCACUUCUGGCGCAACGGAACACCAUGAUGGAAGCCAGAGCGCAUGGAAAUGCCGUUUUACCUUCCCGCCACAGUGGUACCUAUUUAUCUACUUGCACUGGUGUGCUUUUGAACUGCUACGUUGGCAGAAGCUAGGACCGAGCAACGUGAGCUCACCCCGUCAUGGGGAUUCAAACAGCCGAUCUUCUGAUUGGCAAGCCCAAGGGGCUGAGUGGUUUAGACCACAGUGCCACCUGCACCCUAUGGGCAGGUAGGGUCUCAGUGAGAAUAGGAUGCUCAACUAAAUGCAGCACUAGCGUGAUCCAGCAGGCUUUUCUCAUGCUUUUAUUCACGUUAACUACAAUGGGCAAUGGGAAAGCCAUAAUUGUUUCUCUUUUGUAGCUGCACUGCAGAAGAUCUAGCACACAAGUAUACAUUUGACUAUGGAAAUGUGUGAUGUGGACAUCAGCAUAAGUCAAAAUUGCUGCUUCUCUUUAUUUAUAUAGCAGGGAAACAAUGCAAGAGACAUGAAGUCACAUGGCUUCAUUCACAUGGAGAACUGUCACAACAGGCAAACCUGCAAAAAUCCUCAACAACAAGCAAUUUACUAUCCCAGCAGUUGGGCUUCCCUCCCCUUUUUGUCUUGUUUAUUACUGAAGCAAUUUGCAUCAGGAUGAGUGCCUUUUCCAUCAGCUCACAUUUUUGCUUCUCCUGCUGCUUGAUCCUGCCAGGAAAGCCUAAUUUUCUCGCUUUGAUACCUGCCUGUUGCCAUAGAAAAGAGAUAAUGUCUCGAAUUUGACACUGCAACUUUAUGACUGCAUAGAAAAGGUAUGUCUUUGUGCUGAGUAGCCUUGCUUUGAAACAGGAAUCUGAUAGUUUUGCUUUGAAACAAUAUCUGAUAGUUAAAGGGGAAAGAAAAAUCAGGGUGUUGUUUCAAAAUUAAGCCAAUUAUCCAUAUAGGCAAUAAUACUCAUACUCCAAAGUCUUCUUCUUCUUCUUCUUGCAUACCAUAGAAGCACAGUGCAAACACAUGCAGGUUUACUCAGAAGUAGGGUUGGGGGAGAACAUUGAGUCUGUUUGCAUUUUAAUGAGAAACCACCUAAUUCACACUUCUCAAUCCAAUAUGCUGUGUGUGUGCCUCUCUAAAUAACUGUAGCAUAAUGAAUAAAUAACUUGCUGAUAGCCCUUAUUCAGCCCAUUUCCAUGGCUACAAAAAAUUCUUACGUCCUUUUCUAUGACUCCUGUGCUUGUCCAUCCUUCAGCUUCCAGAUAAUGAGACCACUGCUGUCUAAGCAUGCUAUGGACCAGAGUAUGGAAACCCUAUAGGAGAAAAUUUCUUAAUGCAAACGAGGGAAUGAGCUGCAACUAUCAGGACACAACACUUCCUGGCACCUCUUUGCACUCUUGCAGUUGGUCUAAAACUGCUUGCUUAUUUGUUUCCCCUGAUUAUUUUGAGUCUCCAAUGAAAGUGGUUUGAUUACCUAGCACUUGUGAAUAUGUUUGAAAAGGGUACAGUUCUCUUCCAAGACUUCAGGCUAUGCAGUUGACAUACACGCUGUCUCACCAACACAACAAUUAGAGAUCCAAUUGACUAAUUUUUUUCCCUGUGCCAACUUUCCCCUGCAAGUUAAUUGUGUGGUGCUUUUUUUUUGUAACAUUGCAAUAAUUUAAUAAUUGCUUUCAAAGCAAUUAUCUUUCCUAAGAGGAAAACAAAGCACAGCAAAAAAGAAAGAAAUCACAGAUUGUAAACUGCAGCUUGGCUUUUUACAAUGGUCUGCUUGAGGAUUCACAUGGCCAAUUUGCAAGGGGGUUGUCAUUUGAUUACUGUAGUUUGCAAUCUUCCCAUCUUAGUCAAUACGUAGAUAAUUAUUAGGCUUCUUCAGUCACAUAAGGGGUAGAGCAGGAAUGAGCAUGCUGCCCCUGCCCCUUCUACCAUGCCAGUUGCUGCUUCCCUCAAUGAAAUGAGGGCUAUUGUUUGCAGCGGGGAGCCUGCCAUCCUGACUGUGCCCUACUUGGGCAGAGAAGGCUCCCCACUACAGGCAUUCCACCCCUCAUGCAUGGAGGUUGGUGCAGACUGCAAUGAGGCUGUGACAAAGGGGACAAGACCAAUGGGCUCAUCCAGCAGUAGUUGGCAGCUCAGGUCAGUGAGGCUUCUUAGCUUCCUGUUGUCCACAUGGCUGCAGCGUACUGAGAGUGGCAGCGAGGGUGGUGCAGUGCGAACGUACUGGUGGACCUAAUCCAUCACUCCUACCAGUGUUUUCCAUCAUGGCAACUUUGCCACCAUUUUGUCCUUCCACCAAGUAGGCUUCAUCAAAGCAGGCGAUGGGAGGUGAGGUUCCCUGCCCAUCACUGUUGGCUCAUCCCCAUUAGGCGGGGCGAAGCCACAAAGUCAGGCAGCAGAAGCCCCCAGAUAGCACCCCUAUGGGUACCCUACCACCUUUGCCACCAGUGCAGAAGUGACACUGAUUUCCAGUGAGAUCUCGCGGAGGCAGAGGGGCAGCAUGGCAGCACUUCCUGUUUCACCUCAAGUGUCAAAAUAGGGCACACCACUCUGCCCUCUCGUCAUUAUCUUAUGAAGGGGAUAAUGACUGGAAAUGGCUACUGACAUGGUUCAAUCAGCGGCCAUUGGGAAGGAAGUGCAAAACUGUGCUAUCUUCACAGAUAUUUCUGCUUUCAAAGAAACUGACCAUACACGUUUGGUACAUUAUAACUGUUCCAUAACCUUUUAACUUGGAACUCACCCUUCUUUAGAAGAGGCCAUCCAUAAAACACAAUAGCCAACAUCGCAUAACAGCAAUACUCUGUAGAUUUCUGACCUCAGCAGACAAUAUCACAACCUUCAACAGCCUAUAAAAAGUUGAAAAUCUUCAAGUGCCUAAAACUGUACAAAGUUGAUAUCAGCCUUAAUUAAAGAGGAAGUGCUAUCCCAAACUAGGUAGCUAUUGCUGAGAAGGACCUCUGGUGGGUGACUGAGAAACCUUGUCAAUAUCAUCAGAAUAAUUUGAAGUUUCUUUCAAAAAUACUACAUAUAUUUUGCAAAUGAGAGUUUUUGCUAACAUUAUUCAGUACUUUUGGCUUCCCACAAACACCACCAGGAUUCCAGCUGAGAGCUCCUUGGAUUUUCUUCAGAUUUGGAGGAGACAGGACAAAAUUUCAGUAGCAAUUCUUUCUAAUUGGGCAUCAGUGAGACCACUCAUUGAUCUUUGAGCUAUCAAAUAUCAGAUUUUAGAAUGUUGUAUUAUUUUAUUGUUGUUAGCCGCCCUGAGCCUGGCUUCAGCUGGGGAGGGCGGGAUAUAAAUAAAAUGUAUUAUUUAUUAUUAUUAUUAUUAUUAUUAUUAUUAUUAUUAUUAUUAUCAUUACUAUUAUUAUUCUCUUUGAAUGAAACUUGAUGGCACCUUAGAAAUGUGAAAAAAAACCACUGGGAAGUUUUAAUAUUAUCUUAACUCUCCCCUGCCCUCAUCUGAAUCCCAGGUAAUGUUUUGGAGAAAGCUGGUGGAAAUCUGAAGUUCAGCUUAGUGAGGAGACUGAAGUUGCCAAACUUCUUUUCUUGAUCGUCAAUCUCAGGGGGUUGUUAAACAAGAAGAAGCUUUAGGAUUCAGACAGUGUUUUCUCCUCUACUGACUGCUGAAGAUGGACCGGUGGAGCUUUGAUUUAUGUUCUCAGUGCUCAAGACAAAUGCAGACAGCUCCAAAGUUGUACAGUCCUAGUUACGGUUGAAAGAAACUGGGAGGGGAAAUGGCAAAAGUGUUUAAAGGCCGAAUGCUUCCAGUAACAAUGGACCCAAG
This 9932-nucleotide long non-coding RNA is filed under the name Podarcis lilfordi (Lilford's wall lizard). Lineage: Eukaryota; Metazoa; Chordata; Lepidosauria; Squamata; Lacertidae. The record is from RNAcentral.